Molecule: transfer RNA, 75 nt
Filed under: Danionella cerebrum
Lineage: Eukaryota; Metazoa; Chordata; Actinopteri; Cypriniformes; Danionidae
Description: tRNA-Ala
Rfam family: tRNA
About the family: Transfer RNA (tRNA) molecules are approximately 80 nucleotides in length.
Source: RNAcentral
GCGUUCCUGUGACUCAGUCAGUAGAGCAUUGCGCUAGCAACGCAAAGGUCAUGGGUUCUAACCCCAGGGAAAGCA